RNAcentral lists this ribosomal RNA (487 nucleotides) under uncultured bacterium. RNAcentral's name for it is "bacterial SSU rRNA". It matches the Rfam family "Bacterial small subunit ribosomal RNA", at positions 32 to 507 of the family's 1533-position model. The record is from RNAcentral.
AUGAAACGCUAGCGGGAGGCUUAACACAUGCAAGUCGAGGGGCAGCAUAGGGUAGCAAUACUCUGAUGGCGACCGGCAAACGGGUGAGUAACGCGUAUGCAACCUACCCUGUACAGGGGGAUAACCCGGAGAAAUUCGGACUAAUAUCCCGUAAUAAUAUCCGGAGGCAUCUUUGGAUAUUUAAAGUUCCGACGGUACGGGAUGGGCAUGCGUAACAUUAACUGGUUGGUAAGGUAACGGCUUACCAAGGCUAUGAUGUUUAGGGGUCCUGAGAGGGUGGUCCCCCACACUGGUACUGAGACACGGACCAGACUCCUACGGGAGGCAGCAGUGAGGAAUAUUGGUCAAUGGGCGCAAGCCUGAACCAGCCAUCCCGCGUGCAGGAAGACGGCCCUAUGGGUUGUAAACUGCUUUUCCAGGGAGAGAAACUUACGCACGUGUUGCGUGACUGACGGUACCCUGGGAAUAAGCAUCGGCUAACUCCGUG